GUGUGGCGGGCUCUAUCAUGGCGAUUGGUUUGGGUCCUCCUCGUGGGGAACUGGAUCAUGAGCCCACUUUUUAAACCCAUUCUUAAAUACUGAAUAUACUGUGGGGACGAAAGUCUCUGCUUUUAACUAGAUAGCAACUUUCAGCAGUGGAUGUCUAGGCUCGCACAUCGAUGAAGAACGCUGCGAACUGCGAUACGUAAUGCGAAUUGCAGGAUUCAGUGAGUCAUCGAAAUUUUGAACGCAUAUUGCACUUCCGGGUUAGUCCUGGGAGUAUGCCUGUAUCAGUGUCCGUACAUCAAACUUGGCUCUCUUCCUUCCGUGUAGUCGGUGGAUGGAGACGCCAGACGUGAGGUGUCUUGCGGCGCGGCCUUCGGGCUGCCUGCGAGUCCCUUGAAAUGUACUGAACUGUACUUCUCUUUGCUCGAAAAGCGUGACGUUGUUGGUUGUGGAGGCUGCCUGUAUGGCCAGUCGGCGACCGGUUUGUCUGCUGCGGCGUUUAAUGGAGGAGUGUUCGAUUCGCGGUAUGGUUGGCUUCGGCUGAACAAUGCGCUUAUUGGAUGCUUUUCCUGCUGUGGCGGUAUGGGCUGGUGAACCGUAGCUGUGCGAGGCUUGGCUUUUGAACCGGCGGUGUUGUUYCYAAGUAGGGUGGCGGCUUCGGCUGUCGAGGGUCGA
RNAcentral lists this unclassified non-coding RNA (672 nucleotides) under Phytophthora niederhauseri. RNAcentral's name for it is "sequence contains ITS1, 5.8S rRNA gene, ITS2". The stretch from base 136 to 290 matches the Rfam family "5.8S ribosomal RNA". Lineage: Eukaryota; Oomycota; Peronosporomycetes; Peronosporales; Peronosporaceae. The record is from RNAcentral.